RNAcentral lists this transfer RNA (71 nucleotides) under bacterium. Its description in RNAcentral is "tRNA-Gly". It matches the Rfam family "tRNA". Rfam says of the family: Transfer RNA (tRNA) molecules are approximately 80 nucleotides in length. Their secondary structure includes four short double-helical elements and three loops (D, anti-codon, and T loops). The record is from RNAcentral.
GCGAGAUUAGUACAGUGGUAGUAUAUCGGCUUCCCAAGCCGAGGACGCCAGUUCGAUCCUGGUAUCUCGCU